Molecule: ribosomal RNA, 489 nt
Filed under: Triticum aestivum (bread wheat)
Lineage: Eukaryota; Viridiplantae; Streptophyta; Magnoliopsida; Poales; Poaceae
Description: partial small subunit ribosomal RNA
Source: RNAcentral
AUGGCUCCGUCGCCCCGCGCGCUCCAUUGGAGGAGCCCCCGCCCCGCGCGUGGCCGCCUUGGAGUUGGAGCGCUCUGGCCCCACGCCCUUGUCUGCUCUGGCGGCGGGUUCCUCCUGGCCGCAAUGAUGCUCGAGGCCGGCCGCUACACCCACAAGAAGGAUGAUGGCAUCUGCAACAGCAAAUGCUGCUGCAAAGAUAUUAGUGUGGUGGUCAUUGGGUGCAUGCAAUUAACCAGGACGACGAGUGCGGCGACGAGUCCGACCAGGGCGCGCUGGCAGAGGAGGCCCAGGAGCUCACCGCCCCUGAUGGCGAGGGCGUGCCUGACUUGGGUGGUGGCCGCCAAGGCCAACGCCAGUGAGGACGUCGUCCUGGAGUUCAUUGGGGGCCCCAUCUCAUUUGACAAGGCGCGUGCCACUACGAGUGGAGGGUGGCUUUGUGAAGGAUGGGGAGGUGGGAGAAGAAGAACUCUGAAGGAAAGCGGUGAGUAG